RNAcentral lists this unclassified non-coding RNA (344 nucleotides) under soil metagenome. RNAcentral describes it as "partial contains 5.8S ribosomal RNA, internal transcribed spacer 2, and large subunit ribosomal RNA". The stretch from base 1 to 120 matches the Rfam family "5.8S ribosomal RNA", at positions 35 to 154 of the family's 154-position model. The record is from RNAcentral.
GAUGAAGAACGUAGCGAAAUGCGAUAAGUAAUGUGAAUUGCAGAAUUCAGUGAAUCAUCGAAUCUUUGAACGCACAUUGCGCCCGCCAGUAUUCUGGCGGGCAUGCCUGUUCGAGCGUCAUUUCAACCCUCAAGCCCCCGGGCUUGGUGUUGGGGAUCGGCGUGCCCUCGCGGCGCGCCGUCCCCUAAAUCUAGUGGCGGUCUCGCUGUAGCUUCCUCUGCGUAGUAGCAACACUCGCACUGGAUCGCAGCGCGGCCACGCCGUUAAACCCCCCACUUCUGAAAGUUUGACCUCGGUUCAGGUAGGAAUACCCGCUGAACUUAAGCAUAUCAAUAAGCGGAGGA